This is a non-coding RNA of Triticum aestivum (bread wheat), 125 nucleotides long. Lineage: Eukaryota; Viridiplantae; Streptophyta; Magnoliopsida; Poales; Poaceae. The record is from Rfam.
GAUUUACUCCCUCCGUCCGGAAAUACUUGUCUCAGAAAUGGGUGUACCUAGACUUAUUUUAGUUAUAGAUACAUCCAUUUAUAUCCAUUUUUAGAACAAGUAUUUUCGAACGAAGGGAGUAUGUG